Molecule: long non-coding RNA, 5575 nt
Organism: Vitis riparia (riverbank grape)
Lineage: Eukaryota; Viridiplantae; Streptophyta; Magnoliopsida; Vitales; Vitaceae
Exons: 3
Source: RefSeq, a predicted model, not a curated record
AUCAUCUUUCAUCCUUUAAAAUCUUUAAAAGAACCUAUCAUCCUAAACUCUCAACCUAUUAUCCUCUCACUUUUCUUGACAAAUUUCUUGUAUCAUGACCUUGUUUCCGCAGAAACGUCUUUCCUCUCACCUUUCUUGACAAAUUUAGACACAUAUAAUUUUUUCCCGUCAAGCAACUUAUCAAGCAUUAAUAGCAGCAGCUUUCUUCCACCACCUUGCAAGAGAGUAUAUUGCCAAACUUGCAGAAAAUGUCUUGAAGGGAAAAAUUAUAUGUGUCCAAAUGUGUAAGUGAAUAAUCUGGGUGAAGAUUUGACAGAGGAUACAAUUCGAGGUAAGCUCUCUGAGUUUGGAAAAGUUGGCAUUGAUGUUAUCAUGAAGGAUGGCAAUGGGAAAUCCAGAGGGUUUAGUUUUGUGUACUUUGAGUUGCCAGAUGAGGCUAAGAAGGCUGUGGAGGCCUCACUGGUGCAAUCCUAAGGUGAAAGAAGUCGUUUCUUGGAAGGGCUCAGAAAAAAGCUGAAAGGUAGGAUCUUCCAAAACAUGAAAAUUGCAAGAAUCUGUAUGCGAAGAAUCUUUGAUGACGAGGAAUAAAAUCGGGAAGCAGAGAAUAUUUUCCAAGAAACAUGGAAGCUUCUUGGAAUCUUCGCAUACACGUCAUCAUCAAUUUUCCAAGAAUAUUUUUUCCUCACACACAGGGUGGCGUGGGGCGCGUGGUGGUCCUGGCCUGAUUAUCUGGCUCACUACUACGGGGGCUUUGGGCUCCGAUUGGGCUGAAAUUGUAAAGCCCAACGAUCGACUAUAAAAACUAAAGAGUGAGUUUUUUUUAUUGUUUUGCUUUUUGAUGAGUGUUGGGGUUUUCCUUUUUGAUGGGUGUUGAAUGAAGAGUACAGGCAUUAGGUUUUUUUGUGUUUGAGGAUGAUGGGUGAAGGCGGUUUUUAGGGUUUUGUACGAUCUUAUUCCAUAUUAAAAUAAAGAUGAUAGACGAAGACGGUAGAAUUUUUCUGUUAGGGUUUCUCGACGUUGGGUGAGGACGAUAGGAUUUUCUAUAGGAAUUUUUUGGGCAUGCUUUAGGAUUUUUCAGGAAUGGAUCGGGCUUGACGCAAGGAAAGGGUUCAUGAUGGUUGGCACAUUUGACACAGUAGAACCCUCCUUUUAUAGAAAGUCGGGAGGAGGUUAACAGCAAUUGUUGAGAAAUAUCAGGGAACUGAUGAUCAUCCAUCCCAACGAAGUCCUAUGCAAACCCUGUAUUUCAUAAUGAACCCUUUAUUAGUGAUUUGGGUAUUAACAUCUGCAGCUUGGUCUAUUACUCUCAAUGAUCCGAGUUUGAUUAGCAUGGUGGGAUAAGUUUAUUUGGAAUGCUAACAGGAGUUGUUUUUUUGGGCUUCCAAUUGAUGUUGUUUUUGCAGGAAGUGAUAUGAUGUAUUAUGCAGAAUGUGAUAAGAUUAAGAGUUACAUAUAAUGAUGAGUUUCGUUGUUACCUUUUUUUCUUCUUUUUCCUCAAUAUGGAGCAUUUUGUCCCUUGUAUGAGUGCUUUUUGUCGGAUAUCAUAAAGCCUAAUCAAGGGACAUUUGAUUUUUAGAAUUCUUUCUUUCAUAAAAGAAUGGCAUAGAGAUACUGAUUUUUUAAAUCAUCUCUUCCUUUUAAAGAAUAAAAUGGAAUUGUAUUUGAAUGCUUUUUUUCGGAUAUCGUAAAGCCUAAUCAAGGGACAUUUGAUUCUUGGAAUUAUUUCUUUCAUAAAAGAAUGACAUUAUAGAUACUGAUUUUUUAAAUCAUCUCUUCCCUUUGAAGAACAAAAUGGAAUUUAAGUUUUUUUGUAUUUGAACUUAAUUUUUUUUAUUUGAAAGAUUGAUUUGAGAAGUGUUCAUUUACAAUAGCUUGUAUUUGAACAAAGUGACAUUAUAGAUACUCAUUUGAAAUAAGAAUAAGUGGAGUUAUGUGGUAACAAAUUCUUAUUUAUUUAUUUUCUAUUGAAUAUCAUGUUUUUGGGGCUGUUACAUUUAUGUCUCUGAGCACUCUUCUUUAUGACAUGGACAUCAAUUUGCCUCAACUCAAUUUUUUUGAUUUCUGGUUUCAUAAGAAAGGGUCAGAGUGAGGACAUUACAUUAAAAUAGGUCAGUUUUUUUAAUUCUUAUUUUAUUUUGUUAAUUUUUAAAUCAAAACAUGGCUAAUCUAGUUGUCUAGCUCACAAAUUGAAGAGCUUUUACUAUUCUUUGGGUUACCAAUGUUUGAUUUGUGAAAACCUUAACUAUGAGGUUUUUGGAAAUAAGUAAAUAAAUAACUUGUCUAUGAAGAGCUUUUUUUUUUCUCUCACUUUCCUUUGGAUUACCAAGGUUUGGUUUGUGAAGAUUUUGUCUAUGAAGUUUUUGUAAAUAAAUAAGUAAAAAUGUAUGUGGGGUUUGCACUAUGGUUUAUAAGUAAAAAGUGGUAUCUUGCCCGGGAAUUGUAUAUUGACUUGGUCAUGUGCCAUUUGUAUUUUAGGCAGCUUGUGUUUUGUUCAAGAAUUCUUUGAUUAAUUUGUUAUGUUAUUAUUGCUUCCUUUUCCCACUAAUGAUCAUCCAUCCCAAUAAAAAAUAUGUGUGAAUAAUUUUUUGCUGAGGAGUUGUGGUUCCUACAAUAAUGAGUUAUAUUAUGAGGUUGGGUUCAAUGAGGUUGUGGGCAGUCUUAAAAUGCAACUGUAUUUUUAUUUUGCUUUGAUUGAGCUUGGUCUGUUGACCUGAAACUCAAUUUUCUAUUGUAGCUUGGUGACUUACUCUGUAGGGAAUAAAAAUGUUGAACAAGGUUCCCACCAGGAUUCCUCUUAUGUAAACUAUGCCCAUGAAUUAAUAUUCAAAUUGACCACAAAAGAAGGGGGAAAAAAGAAGCACUAAUGCACAAUGGUAGAGCCAGCUAUUCUACUGUUAUCCACUACAUUAGGAUUUUGGUUAGAUUUGCAUGUUGUGCAAGGAUGUCCGUCAUUUUUAAUCAAUAGACAUGUUUCAGAUACAGAAAAAGAAAAACCCUCCUAGUUUAUGUAAGGAUGGUGGGAUAGGAUUGUUUAGGGUGCUAACAAAACUGUUUGUUUUUUGACUUAUUGUUUUUGUGAUUUUUCUAAGAAAUAGUAUGAUGGGGGGCCAUGGGGUUUAAUAAGUUCAGAGCUACAGAAUAUAAAAUAAGUGUGUUUUUUCUUUUUCUUAUUUUGCCUUAAAUGUGAAUUUGGCGAUUGAUUUAAUCAGUGUUUGUUUUCAACAGCCUUAAUGUGGGAAUAUUUCUCUCAUUUUUUAUUAAGAUGUCAUAAUACUAAAUAGGAGAGAUGAAUUUAUUUAGUCCUAAGAAAGGAUCUUGUUAUUUUGUUACAGAGUUUUUCAGGAAACUGGCAUUUGAAUUAUGUUUUUUGGGUUCAAUUUCUUUGUAUGAGACCUUGUCUACUUGUGAGUCUUUAAAGAGUGCAGAAUUUGAAUAUAUCAACAGCCAUGAUUCUUUUGCAGUUAAUUCUAUCGAGAGGAAGAUAGGUACCAGUCUCCCAAGUUUGAGAGCAUGUGGAAAUAACCGGUUUCUUCUUCUAACAAAUUUCUAACUUUUCUAACCCACUUCAUUUGGCAGCUGGAUGGGCUUUCUCCUUGGCUGUUUUGUUUGAUAGUAGGCAUGUUUAUUAUACAAAUUUAUUUCUUUCAUUAAACUCAUGGUAAUUAAAAUGUUGUCCAUGACAUCUUGCUUAUCUUUUUGUGGCUGCAAAUAUUAGAAUAUAUUAUUGUGGCCUUACUAAUUUAGUUUCUGUAAUUUUUAUAUCAAGGAAUAUCUACAAGGGAGAUCUUGCGGUGGAAACAAUUUACAAGAUUGUGAAGGUUGAUAACAAUUUCUUGGAUCCACGGUUUGUGCAACCAUUGAUUGUGAUAUCUACCAUCACUUGCAUGCAUACAAAUGUUAAGACACCUCUUUUGCAUUUUAAAUGUAUGUGCUAUUUUGUUCCCAUACAUUGUUCACUGCAUCAGUAUUGCUAGGCAAACACGUGUCCUAACUUAUUAAUUAUUCAGUACAUCAAUAUUGCUAGGGAAACACAUAUCGAAACUAAUUCAUUUCUCGUGGACUUGCGGUUUCCUAUAAAAUCACCCUUCAGAAUUUUCGAACUGACCCAGCUAUUAAAAGCUUUGUUGCUUUCAUAGGUUCGGGUGGAAAAACAACCUCAUAUGUGCUUUGCAAAAUUUGAUUACUAGAGAGGCAAGGCUAGAAAGUUUGCAUUCGUCUAUAAUCUUUGACUCCACAAAUGGAUGAAAUGCAUUAUAUAGACUCUCUACUCCACUGAGUUCUACAAAACUUGACCAUGUAGAAGGUAGGUAAAACCAACAGAAGCAGCUAAACUAUCCCAAGUGCCUAGAGAAGACCAACUGAGGUGUGCCAUACAAUGAAUCCAACUGAUCCUUGGGGUAUUAGGCAUAAUGUUUGAAUUAUCUGCUGAUUUCUAACUUAUCAAUGCCAUUAAAAAGUUAUCUUCCAUUUCCAUCUGCUUAAAGGUAUGUGUAAUUACUACUCUACUAUCAUUUGCUGCUUCAACAUUUACUCCUAUUUUUAAGUGGACUCAGUGUUGCUAAAUUUGAGCUUUCAAACAUCUUUAAACACCUUUACACUCCUUCAUAAACCAUAAUUCUGCUUUUUUAUUUGUCAUUACUUAACCAAUGCUUCAAAUUACAUGCUUACCUUGCUUUGCUUCACAAAUUUGUUAUCUUCAACUUUGUUUUUGGACUAAAAUUACCAACCUAAUCUAGCCAUGCUAACACCACUAAGAAUUAUGUUUUUGAAUUAUGCAACCUAAGCCGUCAUGAUAAGGAACUUGCCUGCAGCCAUCCUAAGAUAGAAUAUUUAAUUGAAUUGAACAUAUAAAAACUAUUCCAUUCCUACAACACUAUUUAAAACCCUACCAAAAUAUGAUGAGAUACUCAUUAUUGACUAGCAAAUAGAAUAUAAUUAAGAAAUAUGCACUAGUAUAUGCAUGCAUGUACCUGUGUACAUUGUACUAAAAAUAAUCUAGAUUUUGUGUGCCUAUAUAUAUAUGGAGCAUUUGAAAAGACAAUAAAUAGAUUGCUUGUAUGGUGUACUUACAUUUGUAUAAAGGAUUUGCUUAUUUUAGAGUGUGAAAAUGCUCAUGAAGCUCUGCUAAAAUUGCAGCAUCUGCAUUCCAUAUCUUGGUUCAAUUUUCUUGCAUUUUCUUUCUCCAUGACUUCUUUGUUGUUGCAAUGCUAUUGUUUGCCUGCUACUGGCCAUCUGGUAAAGCCAAACGCGGUUCAUUUCGCAUGAAACUUUAGAAGAAUAUUCCAUUCGAUUUUACAUGGGGAACAUCGUUAUGGAGUGGGAUUUUGAAUCCAAGCAUUGGAUUUUUGCAUUUUGGUAAAGGUGCAAAUUUAUGAAGAACCACUUGAAGAUCAAGAGAAGUUCUAGAGCAAUUGUUUUUAUUUUAUAUUAAUUUUUUUUCCCGACGUAUGUUAAUUCAAGUUAUAUGGAUUAUUGUAACUUAAAAAUACUUUAUCAUAGAAAUUAUGAUAAAAAAUUGUAUAAACAGCUUAGGUUGUAGGAUGAUUAAUAAAUUUAUUAUGCUUUUACUUGUGUA